Molecule: long non-coding RNA, 5713 nt
Filed under: Olea europaea (common olive)
Lineage: Eukaryota; Viridiplantae; Streptophyta; Magnoliopsida; Lamiales; Oleaceae
Description: long non-coding RNA (OEUR_LNC012282)
Source: RNAcentral
ACCUUAUGGCCAACAGGAUUACCCACUUUUGUUUUCUUGUUUGGAUUAACCACGUGGAAUUCAGAUGGAUUGUACAACGACAACUUAAUUUGUGCUUCUUUCUCAGUUUUAGCCACUUCCUUGUUAACUUUCAUGUAGCUCUUCCUUGGUGACUUCCCGUUGGUGUAUUCCCUUUGCAGGUGAACAUUUACAAAAGAAUCAUCUAUGCCAUCAAUAUCCAUAUCGAGGUAGAAAUUGACGUAGUGAUCGUGCACAACUCCAAUUAUAUUUUCUGAUAAGAGGGUGCCAUAGAGUUCUUCUCCGUUUACUUGGUUCAUGUUCACAUAAGAGGUGCCUUUCACAAUCACUAUGCCAGUAAGUGAAACCUGGACAGUUAUUAGCGCAUUAGAAUUAAGAAUUAUAUAAGCAAUUUAGGCUAAACACAACUGUUAAACCAAAAAAUUCAUUUAUUUCCUGACUAAUGAGUUCUUCUUGACAAAUUGUUUUGACAAUAAAUUUAUAUGCUUUAGACAAGCAACAAGUUGAUGAAUUACAACUAUUGAGGAACAAGGUGAUAAAUGCAGAAAGCCGCACAUUGUGGUCCUUGUGAACCCUUUUAUGUUUGGCAGAUUCUAAACAUAUUGUGGCUGCCAAUUGCUAGCAAGAUUUGGUCGAUAAGGCCAAGAUUCAUUCCAUGGCUUCAUUCGUAGACGCUGUGUUAAGUAAAUAUUUCUAGAUUUUCUCUGCAAUAUUGUAUUACAUUCAGUUUGUAAUUUGUAACAAUAGUGACACAAGAUAUUAAAUCAGUCUUAGUUGCAAGGAUGGUAGCGUCACUCGCUAACUAUGAUUAUGUUAUCAACUGGGAAUUCCAUGCAACUAACUAUGAUUAUGUUAUCGACAAUGAAAUGCACGAAAAGUUAUUUCACCAAAAUCUUGAUGUCUCAGAGACAUUUGGAAUUGUUAUGAGGAAAACUGAACCAUUAUUUGCUAUUCCUUCUCCGAGAUUGUCUAAUUUGAGUCUGUAUGCAUAAUCAUGUUAUAUUUUGAACAUUAGGUACUUGUGUGGCUUGAUAUAUUGUUAAUCCGUAUGGCACGUGCUCUAAUGAUUACAAAAGUGUACCGAUUGUGAGAAAAAUAAAGUGGACUUGAGAGUCCUAAUUAUGGUUUCUUAUAUAGACUAUUUACUUUCAAUUUUUAUUCCAAGUCUAACGUCAAUCUAAAUUAGUCUAGUGAGCUAUUAACAAAACAAGAUUUUAUUUUCGAACUAGUUUAUUCUAAAUUAAUUAUAAUAUGCUUAUAAUUCAAUUAAAUCUAAAAUAAGUUACAUGAUUUUUAUUUUAUAAUAAACUUAAAAUUUUAUAACUCCCCGUUCAUUAAGGUACUAGAAUACUUUAUUUAUUUAAGUGAAGAGAUAUUAAACCAACAGAAAUUAAUUCUUGGAUCCGAGAAAUUUUAACUUUUUCCUUCAAUGGUGCAAAUUUUAAAUGAUUUGUCUUGCCAGUUAACUGUUGUUAUCUAUUUUGAUAAUUUUUAUUAUGGUGCUUAAGAUGAGUUUAUAUAUAUUUUGAUCUAAUAAAACUACAAUAAACAAUGAAUAUGUAGAAAUCCUUUUAAUCAUGGCAAUGAACUAGGAUUUUUGGCAUGUUGAGUUCAUGCACUGUUAAGGACAUCUCCACUUUUCAUUCUAAAAGUAAAAUACUAAGGAUUUCAUGUAAGUAAACCUUCUCUCGUCCUCAUGUGUGCGCUACCUUGUUAAAAGUAUAAAUGUGUUACCUAAAUUCCCUGUUAUGUGACAUUGAUAUUUGAUUAUUACAUUUUAUGUUAUUAUUCAUGCACGUUAAUACAUUCAUAAGCAUACAAGAAGUUUCAAGGAAUAAAAUGUCUGCAUAUGUCAUUGCUCAGUGAAUAUUUUAAAAAAAUAUGUAUCCCAAAUUUUUUUAUUACGAGGUAUAUGUCUAUGUCAUAAAAAGUAUGAGUAGGAAACGAGACAUGGGGGACCAGAGCACACAACCAAUGUUUAAUGAUAAUGUUAAUAUUAACAGCUUUGCGAUAUUACUAGUAGGACUCUACCAGGUUCCAAAUAAUAAUUGUCCACUUCAUUUUGAUUGAUUAUGCGAUACACCAAGUGAACUCACGUCAAUGUUGAGUUCUUAAAGAAAUGAAAGAAAGUGGAUAUAUAUUAAGAGUUGUUUUUAUUUUAAAGUAAUUCAUACGUAUAUCAUAAGAUUGCAUCUUUUGUUUAAUAAGCAUUAGCUCAUGCUACGUUAUCUCUCCAAAUUUUUAAAUGAUGAAAGCAUGAUGAUUUGAGAUGACUAAUUAUGAUGUGAUGGACUCAGUAUUACAUUUAAAUAUCGACUUCUUUUAGAAAUUAAAGUUGACAUUUAAUUUUAUUAUUAUUUUUUCAUUUAAGUGCUAAAAAAUUCUACACGUUAUGUUCAUAAAUGAAGUCAAUAAUGUUCAUUAUAUUAAAUAAAAAUUUAAUCCCUUGUGCAUUUGUGAUUUUAAGAGUAAGCCCUUGUUUGAGCUCCUUUCUUUUGGAAAAAUACAUUUUUGGACAAUGUUUUGACAUUAUUUCAAUUGUACAUUUUUCAAUAAAAUAAUAUUACACACAAAUCCAAAAUUUUUCCUUAUUUUUUAACCACACAUUUUUCAUCGAUAUACUAUUCAAAAAUUCAUUCUUCUCAAAGAAUAGGGUUCAAACAAGGGCUAAUUCAAAAGUUAAUUCUCCCAGAUACCUAGAUUUGGCGUUGUUACAAUUCAGCUCCAAUUUGAGCGUUCAGUGUAGGCUGUCGCUCGCCUACCAUGAGGUUGGGCAUUCGAGCACCACGUGUCAUUCGUUUCAUGCGAGCUUUAUCGCUCGAGCAUAGGUUGUAUUCGAUCCACGGCCCGUUAUGCAAUUUGAAGCGAUUUUAGGUUUCCAUUCCAUCUAUAAAAUCAUUGCUAAGGUUUUAUUUUAGCACACAACCUCUAGACUCGUCUUAGCAUUGAGAGAAUAUUAUUUCCCUAUAGUUAGCAUUAAAUUCUUGUAAAUGCCAUACUUUUGAUAAAAUAAAUUCUCUUCCUCUAUCAAAUUUAUGUGUUCAUGUGUUGUAAUUGUUACUUCAUAUUUUGUCAUAUAUCUCGCAUAUUCCUAACAAUAAAGCAACUACGGGUUGUAUUUGAGGUUUCCAACUUGUACACUUGCUAGUAAAUACACAUGCAGUAGUUGAUUUCCAACUACCUUUAGCCUCACGAAAUUUACAUCUACAAUCCCUCAAGCUUUACACCUUCACUACUUGAUUUAAACAUUAAACCUGACUGAGAUGAUCCCUGACAUCAAAGCAACCAUUUUAAUGCAUCGCAGUGCUGAGGUCUUGAGUUGGCCAUGAACAUUCUUAUUGUACUUAUAGCAUGGUACACAUCAAGUCUCAUAAUUACAAUGAUUGGGCCCACUGUCUUAUAAGAAGGUACCUUUUGAAUGUAUUUUCACUUCAAAUUCGAUAGCCCCACUUGAAAUGACAUGGUUAAAGUAAUACAUUUUGAUUUUAAUUUUCAUUCCAUUAUAUUCUAUUUGAAAAUUAAUGGAGGCCAAACAGAACGACAAUAUUGUCAAAAUGUUUGAAAUUUGUCUCGGAACUAAAACAAUUUUAGGUCUCUGUCUUUCAGGGCCAGUCCUGGGCACGGGCAAAUGAGGCCAGUGCCUCAAGCCCAAAACCACAAAGGGCCUAUGUUAGCCCAAAGUUUUUUUUUUUUAAUAUUAAAAGAAGGAAAAAGAAAAAGAAAAUAGUUUUUUCAUUAAUUGUGAGAUGAUUGAGAUAUUUGUUUGUUGUUUUAAUCUUUAGUUUUAAGUUAACAAUAUGUUACAUAAUAUAUCGUUGAAUUUAGCAUUUACGUUGAUUUUGGGAGACUUAAUUUUUAGACUUUGUCUCGAGCCCCGACAAUCAUAGGACUGGCCGUGCUGUCUUUCAAUGUCCAUGUCCAAUAUUCUGUCUAAUAUAUCCUAAAUCUUUUAUGUCAAAUUCAGUACUUUACACCGUCUUUAUAUGGUUUAUUUUAUGCAUGUUUGAACUAAUCAAUAACAUGUCAUCAACUUAAAAUAGCAAGUAAGGAGUCAAUUAAUUUUUUACUUGAAAUUUAAUUUGAAGUGGAACGGCAGAAAUUUUUCAUAAGAAAGACAGUGAUCAAAUUUUUAUAGUUCAAGAACACAUAGCUAUGAUUAAUGAUUACUAUCCCCUUUCAAGGAAAAAUUAAAAAUAAAAAUAUCGACAUCAGCCCAGCCCCAAAGAAUUCGCUUCGAUGCCAAUGCCUACAUACCAUCAUAAUCUAGUUCAUCUUGGGGACAGACAUCAGCCCAGCCCCCAAAGAAUUCAUUUCAAUAUGGGCAGCGGAUCACUCAACGCACUAAGGGGUUUGUGUCACCCUGCCCGACCCGACUGAACAAAAUGCUCGUUCUCAGGCUGAAGCAGCAGCUUUGCAAACUGGCAGCUCUUUCUCAACAUAUGGUGCAACCCUAAGAACAGGGUUUCUCUCAAAGAAAUUCACCGGUUUGAGGUCGAAGCCUGCUGAGACUGUGGGCAUCAUGGGGAAGUCUUCUUGGCACGGGACGUGAUGAAAGCCCAAUGUAUACCAUAAAACAAUGUCCCUGUUCUCAAUAGGUCGAUCCCUGGAAAUUCAAAUACAAUUUUAUGAGUAUUGGACAAUACAAGAGUAUGCAGUAAGAUGUAAUGCAAUGUUAUUUUGGCUGAAUAUUAUUACCUGUCAGACCAUACUUGAAGAGUAUCUUCACCAUGACUCUGAUAGGCAAACAAACCUCCAGACCAUUGCUCUGACUUGUUAUACUGAGUAACCCAAAUUUGGUUAUUAGUAAAUGCACUUCUCUUCUGUGGAGGAUCUUCAGGAUCGAGCAAACUAGCAGCGGUGCCAGCAGGAACGACCUUAUAGCCAACAGGAUUACCCACUUUUGUUUUCUUGUUUGGAUUAACCACGUGGAAUUCAGAUGGAUUGUACAACGACAACUUAAUUUGUGCUUCUUUCUCAGUUUUAGCCACUUCCUUGUUAACUUUCAUGUAGCUCUUCCUAGGUGACUUCCCGUUGGUGUAUUCCCUUUGCAGGUGAACAUUUACAAAAGAAUUAUCUAUGCCAUCAAUAUCCAUAUCGAGGUAGAAAUUGACGUAGUGAUCGUGCACAACUCCAAUUAUGUUUUCUGAUAAGAGGGUGCCAUAGAGUUCUUCUCCGUUUACUUGGUUCAUGUUCACAUAAGAGGUGCCUUUCACAAUCACUAUGCCAGUGAGCGAAACCUGGACAGUUAUUAGCACAUUAGAAUUAAGAAUUAUAUAAGCAAUUUAGGCUAAACACAACUGUUAAACCAAAAAAUUCAUUUAUUUCCUGACUAAUGAGUUCUUCUUGACAUUGUUUUGACAAUAAAUUUAUAUGCUUUAGACAAGCAACAAGUUGAUGAAUUACAAUUAUUGAGGAACAAGGAGAUAAAUGCAGAAAGCCGGACACUGUGGUCCUUGUGGACCUUUUUAUGUUUGGCAGAUCCUAAACAUAUUGUGGCUGCAAAUUGCUAGCAAGAUUUGGUCCAUAAGGCCAAGUUUCAUUCCAUGGCUUCAUUCAUAGUCAUAGACAUUGUGUAAAGUAAAUAUUUCUAGAUUUUCUCCGUAAUAUUGUAUUACAUUCAGUUUGUAAUUUGUAACAAUAGUGACACUAAGUAAUAACACAGUGAAAUGCGUGAAAAGUUAUUUUAACCAACCUU